GAAAGGGAAGAAGUCGGAUUAGAUUUGUGACUUGCUGGGGUCCGUGUUCCUUUUCAAUGAGCAUUGUUUUGGAACAUUGACAGUGUGCACCGCUCUCAUUGGCUGUUUUAGGAAACAAUAACAGGACCGGUGGCCUCUGAUUGGUUCAACCCGACAGCUGCCCAAUACCCCUCUCCGUCUGAUAAGUUUCUCUAACCAACUUUAUUUAGUAUGAAGUCAAGUUGCUUGUGUUUUGAAGCAGUGUGCAAAGGGAAAUUCCACCGCAAAGAAGAUGAAGCUGUGUAAAACGUUUUUAGAAAAUGAGUUCAGAGGCCAGCUGCUGAACCAGAGGUGGACACGAGGGGACAGAAUAAGCAGAUUCUGUGAGACCAAGAGGAGCCUGCGAAUCAAAGUGAGAAGCUGUGUGUGUGUGUGUGUGUGUGUGUGUGUGUUUGUGAGCGUGCACGUGUGUGCCUGUGUCUUUGUGAGAAAGAGCGAGAGAGAAAUAGAGAGUUAAUGCUUUGUGAUAACAAUGAGUACUGUCAGAAACAGUGACCCUCCCAUUUCACACAAAUCUAUCUCACUCUACUCCUCUCUCCCACUCUCUUCCUUCCCUCCCUAAACAGAAGGAGGUCAUACAUUUUUCCUUUUAAAAGCUUUUAUUAGAGUUGAUAAGGACUCUGCUUUUGUAACCAGAUCUUGCUCCAUUGAGGAUGAGGGGAGGUUCCACCCCACUUUGAAAUCAGUAUGAAUGUUAUGUGUAUGUGUUUGGUUAUGGGUGUAUCUGUGCUUUAAAAUACUUGUGUGUGGGAAGAGGAAGACAGGGGGAAGAUAAAAUUAUACUGCUAUGGUACUUGCAAUGAGGCACUGUGUGGAUUGAUGAUGUAGAAUAAUUGUAGAGAAGUCACUCAAAAAGUGAAGCUGUGUGUGUGUGUGUGUGUGUGUGUGUGUGUGUGUGUGUGUGUGUGUGUGUGUGUGUGUGUGUGUGUGUGUGUGAGCAUCAAAAUGUGUACCUGUGUGCCUAUGUAGUGUGUGUGUGUGAGUGAGUGAGUGAGUGAGGUAAAGAGAGGUAGUGAGUGCACUGUCAUGACACUUUGUGUUUCAGAUGAGUCAGGAAGCAGCAGAAACAAGAACACGGACCCGCUCAAAAGGCAUCAGAGGUGAGCUGGGGCCACACAAAUGCACGCACAAACGCAUGAUACUAAUGGAAACAGCUUCAUU
Molecule: long non-coding RNA, 1200 nt
Filed under: Salmo trutta (river trout)
Lineage: Eukaryota; Metazoa; Chordata; Actinopteri; Salmoniformes; Salmonidae
Description: lncRNA (ENSSTUG00000021911.1)
Source: RNAcentral